CAGUCGCCACGGGAAUACGUAGGUGGCAAGCGUUGUCUGGAAUUAUUGGGCGUAAAGGGCUCGCAGGCGGUUUCUUAAGUCUGAUGUGAAAGCCCCCGGCUCAACCGGGGAGGGUCAUUGGAAACUGGGAAACUUGAGUGCAGAAGAGGAGAGUGGAAUUCCACGUGUAGCGGUGAAAUGCGUAGAGACGUGGAGGAACACCAGUGGCGAAGGCGACUCUCUGGUCUGUAACUGACGCUGAGGAGCGAAAGCGUGGGGAGCGAACAGGAUUAGAUACCCCUGUAGUCCCUGUCUCUUAUAC
This 301-nucleotide ribosomal RNA is filed under the name uncultured bacterium. Its description in RNAcentral is "partial 16S ribosomal RNA". It matches the Rfam family "Bacterial small subunit ribosomal RNA", at positions 509 to 807 of the family's 1533-position model. The record is from RNAcentral.